This is a long non-coding RNA of Amphimedon queenslandica, 414 nucleotides long. RefSeq lists it as uncharacterized. Lineage: Eukaryota; Metazoa; Porifera; Demospongiae; Haplosclerida; Niphatidae. The record is from RefSeq and is a predicted model, not a curated record. The transcript is spliced from 2 exons.
CCUCUCUUCUCCUCUCCUCUCAGAUUCCAGCUGAACAAGGUCAGACUUAUGCAUCAGAAGUUAAUGCCAUAUUUGGAGAGACUAGUGCCCUCACUGCUAGGAAUGCUGAGGAAAUGUUCAUUGAAAUAACUCGUAAGUUACCACCAGAUUGUUUUUACCAGCUGGUGCCUCUCUCUUAAGACAGACUGAUACACCACGUGCUAAGGGAGGAUGCUGUGGAGGAGGGGAAGGGGACAAAGGACCAUCAUAAUAGUCCAGUUAUUACAAGAUAAUAAAUUAAUGAUUAUUAUUAUUAUUAUUAUUAUUAUUAUUAUUUUAAUAACAACUGACACAUGUACUGCUUGCCCAAUAAGCUGGUUGUACUAUUCUCUUCUAUUUUAUUUUAAUUGUCUUUGAUUGCAAUAAUAAUUUAUU